This 253-nucleotide ribosomal RNA is filed under the name uncultured bacterium. RNAcentral describes it as "partial 16S ribosomal RNA". It matches the Rfam family "Bacterial small subunit ribosomal RNA", at positions 524 to 776 of the family's 1533-position model. The record is from RNAcentral.
UACGGGGGGGGCAAGCGUUGUUCGGAAUUACUGGGCGUAAAGGGCUCGUAGGCUGCCAACUAAGUCAGACGUGAAAUCCCUCGGCUUAACCGGGGAACUGCGUCUGAUACUGGAUGGCUUGAAUCCGGGAGAGGGAUGCGGAAUUCCAGGUGUAGCGGUGAAAUGCGUAGAUAUCUGGAGGAACACCGGUGGCGAAGGCGGCAUCCUGGACCGGCAUUGACGCUGAGGAGCGAAAGCUAGGGGAGCAAACGGG